CAGGCCUAACACAUGCAAGUCGAACGGUAACAGGAAGCAGCUUGCUGCUUUGCUGACGAGUGGCGGACGGGUGAGUAAUGUCUGGGAAACUGCCUGAUGGAGGGGGAUAACUACUGGAAACGGUGGCUAAUACCGCAUAACGUCGCAAGACCAAAGAGGGGGACCUUCGGGCCUCUUGCCAUCAGAUGUGCCCAGAUGGGAUUAGCUUGUUGGUGAGGUAACGGCUCACCAAGGCGACGAUCCCUAGCUGGUCUGAGAGGAUGACCAGCCACACUGGAACUGAGACACGGUCCAGACUCCUACGGGAGGCAGCAGUGGGGAAUAUUGCACAAUGGGCGCAAGCCUGAUGCAGCCAUGCCGCGUGUAUGAAGAAGGCCUUCGGGUUGUAAAGUACUUUCAGCGGGGAGGAAGGUGUUGUGGUUAAUAACCGCAGCAAUUGACGUUACCCGCAGAAGAAGCACCGGCUAACUCCGUGCCAGCAGCCGCGGUAAUACGGAGGGUGCAAGCGUUAAUCGGAAUUACUGGGCGUAAAGCGCACGCAGGCGGUCUGUCAAGUCGGAUGUGAAAUCCCCGGGCUCAACCUGGGAACUGCAUUCGAAACUGGCAGGCUUGAGUCUUGUAGAGGGGGGUAGAAUUCCAGGUGUAGCGGUGAAAUGCGUAGAGAUCUGGAGGAAUACCGGUGGCGAAGGCGGCCCCCUGGACAAAGACUGACGCUCAGGUGCGAAAGCGUGGGGAGCAAACAGGAUUAGAUACCCUGGUAGUCCACGCCGUAAACGAUGUCUACUUGGAGGUUGUGCCCUUGAGGCGUGGCUUCCGGAGCUAACGCGUUAAGUAGACCGCCUGGGGAGUACGGCCGCAAGGUUAAAACUCAAAUGAAUUGACGGGGGCCCGCACAAGCGGUGGAGCAUGUGGUUUAAUUCGAUGCAACGCGAAGAACCUUACCUGGUCUUGACAUCCACAGAAGAAUCCAGAGAUGGAUUUGUGCCUUCGGGAACUGUGAGACAGGUGCUGCAUGGCUGUCGUCAGCUCGUGUUGUGAAAUGUUGGGUUAAGUCCCGCAACGAGCGCAACCCUUAUCCUUUGUUGCCAGCGGUUAGGCCGGGAACUCAAAGGAGACUGCCAGUGAUAAACUGGAGGAAGGUGGGGAUGACGUCAAGUCAUCAUGGCCCUUACGACCAGGGCUACACACGUGCUACAAUGGCGCAUACAAAGAGAAGCGACCUCGCGAGAGCAAGCGGACCUCAUAAAGUGCGUCGUAGUCCGGAUUGGAGUCUGCAACUCGACUCCAUGAAGUCGGAAUCGCUAGUAAUCGUGGAUCAGAAUGCCACGGUGAAUACGUUCCCGGGCCUUGUACACACCGCCCGUCACACCAUGGGAGUGGGUUGCAAAAGAAGUAGGUAGCUUAACCUUCGGGAGGGCGCUUACCACUUUGUGAUUCAUGACUGGGGUGAAGUCGUAACAAGGUAACCGUAGGGGAACCUGCGGUUGGAUCACCUCCUUACCUUAAAGAA
RNAcentral lists this ribosomal RNA (1510 nucleotides) under Salmonella enterica subsp. enterica serovar Enteritidis. RNAcentral describes it as "bacterial SSU rRNA". It matches the Rfam family "Bacterial small subunit ribosomal RNA". The record is from RNAcentral. Lineage: Bacteria; Pseudomonadati; Pseudomonadota; Gammaproteobacteria; Enterobacterales; Enterobacteriaceae.